CUGGAGGUAUCAGAAGUGCGAAUGCUGACAUAAGUAACGAUAAAGCGGGUGAAAAGCCCGCUCGCCGGAAGACCAAGGGUUCCUGUCCAACGUUAAUCGGGGCAGGGUGAGUCGACCCCUAAGGCGAGGCCGAAAGGCGUAGUCGAUGGGAAACGGGUUAAUAUUCCCGUACUUGGUGUUACUGCGAAGGGGGGACGGAGAAGGCUAUGUUGGCCGGGCGACGGUUGUCCCGGUUUAAGCGUGUAGGUGUGUGUUCCAGGUAAAUCCGGUUCACUUUAACACUGAGGCGUGAUGACGAGGCACUACGGUGCUGAAGCAACAAAUGCCCUGCUUCCA
RNAcentral lists this ribosomal RNA (336 nucleotides) under Salmonella enterica. Its description in RNAcentral is "partial 23S ribosomal RNA". It matches the Rfam family "Bacterial large subunit ribosomal RNA", at positions 1273 to 1610 of the family's 2925-position model. RNAcentral also lists the same sequence under 2 other names. The record is from RNAcentral. Lineage: Bacteria; Pseudomonadati; Pseudomonadota; Gammaproteobacteria; Enterobacterales; Enterobacteriaceae.